UACGUAGGGGGCGAGCGUUGUCCGAAGUUACUGGGCGUAAAGCGCGCGUAGGCGGGUUCUUAAGUGAGGGGUGAAAGGUUCGGGCUCAACCCGGACACUGCCUUUCAUACUGGGAGCCUUGAGUGCGGGAGAGGCGAGUGGAAUGGCUGGUGUAGCGGUGAAAUGCGUAGAGAUCAGUCGGAACACCCAUGGCGAAGGCAGCUCGCUGGCCUGCAACUGACGCUGAGGCGCGAAAGCGUGGGGAGCAAACAGG
RNAcentral lists this ribosomal RNA (253 nucleotides) under uncultured prokaryote. RNAcentral describes it as "partial 16S ribosomal RNA". It matches the Rfam family "Bacterial small subunit ribosomal RNA", at positions 524 to 776 of the family's 1533-position model. The record is from RNAcentral.